This is a small nucleolar RNA of Capsella rubella, 109 nucleotides long. It matches the Rfam family "Plant small nucleolar RNA R71". Rfam says of the family: R71 is a member of the C/D box family of snoRNAs containing the C (UGAUGA) and D (CUGA) box motifs. Lineage: Eukaryota; Viridiplantae; Streptophyta; Magnoliopsida; Brassicales; Brassicaceae. The record is from Rfam.
AACCCAUGAUGUGGGCAUUGGGACUGAUAUCCCUUGAAACGCUCCCAAGCUUCACAAAACGUCUUGUUAUUCUUCUGGGCAAAACUGGAUAUUUCAUUACGGAGAGGAU